CGUUUAGUGGCGAACGGGUGAGUAAUACAUAGGUAACCUACCCUUAAGACGAGGAUAGCCAUUGGAAACGAUGGAUAAAACUGGAUAGGAUAUAGAGGAAGAAUCUUUUAUAUUUAAAAGAGAGAUCUGCUUAAGGAGGGGCCUGUGGCGCAUUAGCUAGUUGGUGGGGUAAGGGCCUACCAAGGCGAUGAUGCGUAGCCGGACUGAGGGGUUGAACGGCCACAAUGGAACUGAGAACGGUCCAUACUCCUACGGAAGGCAGCAG
This 265-nucleotide ribosomal RNA is filed under the name uncultured bacterium. Its description in RNAcentral is "partial 16S ribosomal RNA". It matches the Rfam family "Bacterial small subunit ribosomal RNA", at positions 89 to 354 of the family's 1533-position model. The record is from RNAcentral.